This 504-nucleotide ribosomal RNA is filed under the name uncultured bacterium. RNAcentral describes it as "partial 16S ribosomal RNA". It matches the Rfam family "Bacterial small subunit ribosomal RNA", at positions 30 to 523 of the family's 1533-position model. The record is from RNAcentral.
AUUGAACGCUGGCGGCAUGCCUUACACAUGCAAGUCGAACGGCAGCAUGGAGAGCUUGCUCUCUGAUGGCGAGUGGCGAACGGGUGAGUAAAGCAUCGGAACGUACCGUGUAGUGGGGGAUAACGUAGCGAAAGUUACGCUAAUACCGCAUACGCACUGAGGUGGAAAGCAGGGGAUCGCAAGACCUUGCGCUAUACGAGCGGCCGAUGUCAGAUUAGCUAGUUGGUAGGGUAAAGGCCUACCAAGGCGACGAUCUGUAGCGGGUCUGAGAGGAUGAUCCGCCACACUGGGACUGGGACACGGCCCAGACUCCUACGGGAGGCAGCAGUGGGGAAUUUUGGACAAUGGGGGCAACCCUGAUCCAGCCAUGCCGCGUGAGUGAAGAAGGCCAUCGGGUUGUAAAGCUCUUUCGGCCGGGAAGAAAUCGCACAGGCUAAUACUCUGUGUGGAUGACGGUACCGGCAUAAGAAGCACCGGCUAACUACGUGCCAGCCGCCGCAGUAA